GAUCAACGCUGGCGGCGUGCCUAACACAUGCAAGUCGAACGAUGAAGCUUAAAAGAUUUCUUCGGAAUGAACUUAAUUGGAUUAGUGGCGGACGGGUGAGUAACGCGUGAGUAACCUGCCUUGUACAAGGGGAUAGCCGUUGGAAACGACGAAUAAUACCCUAUGACAUCAAAUAAUCGCAUGAUAAUUUGAUCAAAGAUUUAUCGGUAUAAGAUGGACUCGCGUCUGAUUAGCUAGUUGGUAGAGUAAAAGCCUACCAAGGCAACGAUCAGUAGCCGGCUUGAGAGAGUGUACGGCCACAUUGGGACUGAGACACGGCCCAGACUCCUACGGGAGGCAGCAGUGGGGAAUUUUGCACAAUGGGGGAAACCCUGAUGCAGCGACGCCGCGUGAUUUAGAAGGCCUUCGGGUUGUAAAAAUCUUUUGUAUGGGAAGAAAAUGACAGUACCAUACGAAUAAGAACCGGCUAAUUACGUG
Molecule: ribosomal RNA, 477 nt
Filed under: uncultured bacterium
Lineage: Bacteria
Description: partial 16S ribosomal RNA
Rfam family: Bacterial small subunit ribosomal RNA
Source: RNAcentral